UCAGCUCGUGUCGUGAGAUGUUGGUUAAGUCCCGCAACGAGCGCAACCCUCGUCCUAUGUUGCCAGCGGGUCAUGCCGGGGACUCAUGGGAGACUGCCGGGGUCAACUCGGAGGAAGGUGGGGAUGACGUCAAAUCAUCAUGCCCCUUAUGUCUUGGGCUUCACGCAUGCUACAAUGGCCGGUACAGAGUGACGCGAAGCCGCGAGGUGGAGCAAAUCGCAGAAAAUCGCUCUCAGUUCGGAUUGGAGUCUGAAACCCGACUCCAUGAAGGUGGAAUUGCUAGUAAUCGCGCAUCAGCAUGGCGCGGUGAAUACGUUCCCGGGCCUU
RNAcentral lists this ribosomal RNA (327 nucleotides) under uncultured Cellulomonas sp. Its description in RNAcentral is "bacterial SSU rRNA". It matches the Rfam family "Bacterial small subunit ribosomal RNA", at positions 1055 to 1382 of the family's 1533-position model. The record is from RNAcentral. Lineage: Bacteria; Bacillati; Actinomycetota; Actinomycetes; Micrococcales; Cellulomonadaceae.